AGAAUCAACGCUGGCGGCGUGCCUAACACAUGCAAGUCGAACGAGAAAGUGGGAGCAAUCCCAUGAGUAAAGUGGCGCACGGGUGAGUAACACGUGACUAACCUACCCUUGAGUGGGGGAUAACCUAGGGAAACCUGGGCUAAUACCGCAUAAUACCUACGGGUCAAAGGAGCAAUUCGCUUUAGGAGGGGGUCGCGGCAGAUUAGAUAGUUGGCGGGGUAAUGGCCCACCAAGUCAGUGAUCUGUA
RNAcentral lists this ribosomal RNA (247 nucleotides) under uncultured bacterium. RNAcentral's name for it is "partial small subunit ribosomal RNA". It matches the Rfam family "Bacterial small subunit ribosomal RNA", at positions 26 to 285 of the family's 1533-position model. The record is from RNAcentral.